Molecule: long non-coding RNA, 227 nt
Filed under: Lathyrus oleraceus (garden pea)
Lineage: Eukaryota; Viridiplantae; Streptophyta; Magnoliopsida; Fabales; Fabaceae
Description: Pisum sativum (pea) long non-coding RNA (PSAT_LNC032858)
Source: RNAcentral
GAAAUAACAUUCAGAAGUGUUGGGGGAACAUGAAUCUUAUCUGCAUAAAUCUGACACUUAUGACAUUUCUUCACAUAUUUGCAGCAGUCAGACUCCAUUGUCAGCCAAUAGUAGCCUGCUCUCAACAUCUUCUUCGCCAUGGCAUGUCCAUUGGAAUAAGUAUAAAAUGAACCUUCAUGGACUUCAUUCAUCAAUAGGUCUGCUUCGUGACUAUCCACGCAUCUGAG